CACCCAGGAGGCAGAACCUCUUCGUAGACAGAGCAGGAAGAAUCGACAGGAUCUCCAGGAAUACCGGGAGGAGACAGGGGCCCCACAGCCAGGAGGGCAUCCUCUGUCUCCAGCACCCUGCACAGAGCAGAUGGAAGGAAAGAUGUGUCGGGGAGAAGGCUGGCCUUUGCUGGGCUCCUGCGGUGUGCAGCCGUGUGGGUGAAGAGCACGCGCUCUGUCGCAGCACUGUUGCAGGGCCCAGCAGGAGGCCGGCCUCGGUUCCCCCGGAGUGGGGAGCCGUGGACACGGCUAAGGGGAUCAGCUUUGAGCUGGGGGGAGAGGAGCCCUCGGGGGCAGCAACGGUCAGGAGGGGAACAGCCCCUUGAACUGACUCGCAAGGGGCAGGGGUCUGCUGGUGGUCAUGUGGAGAACAACAGAUUCUGGACAUGCUGGCCGCUCACUGUCCUCCAGUGCUGGAGUCCUGGGCUCUGCAGGUCAGGAGCUGACAAAAGCUGGAUCCAAAUCUGGAAGGUGCCUUCAAGGGCGUGACACCUAACUGGCUGCUAUCCCUGCACCUCCCACGACAGCCUCAUGCUCCGCCGCCCCCGCGAGGAAUUUUAUGGAUGCAAAGAAGGUGGAGACAUGAAAUAAACACUUGGG
This 639-nucleotide long non-coding RNA is filed under the name Equus caballus (horse). Its description in RNAcentral is "lncRNA (ENSECAG00000038543.3)". The record is from RNAcentral. Lineage: Eukaryota; Metazoa; Chordata; Mammalia; Perissodactyla; Equidae.